GUUUGUAGACCAAAAGAAUAUGGUGGCCUCGGGGUGCUCGACACCGACAAGUUUGCACGUGCUUUGCGGCUCCGAUGGCUAUGGUAUGAAUGGACUAAGCCCCGCAGAUUAUGGGUUGGCCUUGGAAACCCGUGCACGGAGGAGGACCUCGAGUUUUUCUAUGCCUCUACGACUAUCACUGUAGGGGAUGGCGCCAAAACGCCUUUUUGGGGCUCCCUAUGGCUUCUUGGUCGCAAACCCAAGGAUAUCGCGCCACUCUUGUUUGCGGCCUCGAGAAGAAAGAAUUGGAAGGUCCGUGAGUCCCUCACGGGGAACGCUUGGAUCUUCAAGAUCAAUCAUGACAUGGACACGGUUGUCUCCAUCGCCCACAUUAGGGAGUUCUUCACUCUUUGGAUGCUCCUUAACGACAUCCACCUUCAUGAGCAAACCGAAGACGUCAUCGUUUGGAAGCAUGCGAACGAUGGGAUCUACAUGGCGGCCACCGCAUACAAGGCUCAAUUCCUAGGCAUGACUCCCUCCCCCUUGGAUCGAAUGGUUUGGAAGGCAUGGGCACCUCCAAAGGUUAAGUUUUUUGCUUGGUUGGCAUUGCAAGAUAGGAUUUGGACCGCCGAUCACCUGGAGCGUCGAGGUUGGUAA
Molecule: ribosomal RNA, 636 nt
Filed under: Triticum aestivum (bread wheat)
Lineage: Eukaryota; Viridiplantae; Streptophyta; Magnoliopsida; Poales; Poaceae
Description: partial small subunit ribosomal RNA
Source: RNAcentral